CAAAUUUAUCAGUCUUUUAUUGCCUCUGGAUUUUGCACCGUAGUUAUAAAGCCUUUCUCUACUCCAAAGUUAAAGAGGGUUUCCCUCAUGUUUUCUUCUCAUGCUUGUACAGUUACAUUUAGAUCUCUGAUCCAUUUGCAGCUUAUUCUUUUCUCUGGUACAAGGAAUGGAUCUAAUUUUUUCCAAAUGGCUACCCAGUUGUCCCAAAACCAUUUUCUACAAAUGACCACCUUUGCUCCAGUAAUUUGAGAUACCUCCUUUAUCAUACUCUUGAUGUUUAUAUGCAGUUGGGUCUGUUUCUGGACUUUCCAGGCUAUUUUUUUGAUUUGUUUGUCUAUUCAUGUGCCAAUGCUACACUGUUUUAAUUACAGAGGCCUUGUGAUAUGUUUUAUUAUCUGGUUGGACUGGUUCUCCUCAGAACUCUUCCUUGUCAGUCUUUUCUUAACCAUUCUUGUGAGUUUAUUUUUUCCUGUGAAUUUUAAGAUCGUGUUUCAUCAGACAUUUAAUUCUUGAUUCUGUUUAUUCUGGAGGGUGUUCCGGGUCUCAUUGUUAGAGGCUCUCUCUCUAGGACUCUCCCUCCCACUGCCCCAUGAAAAUGGCUGCAGUCAUGAGAACCUGUUACUGACAGCAUACAUCACAGCUUGCAGUUCUGAAAGUUGGCAAGUCCAAGAUCAUGAUGCUGGCAGAUUUGGAGUCUGGUGAAGGCCUGGUUCCUGGUUCCUGGUUCUUUCUGUGUUCCCACAUGGCAGAAGGGGUAAGCUCUUUGGGAUCUCUUUAAUGAGGCUCCACCCUCAUGACCUAAUUACCUCAUCGUCAUCGGAAAGUACAUAAUUUCUUACCAUUGUGUAACAGCCACCAUUCUAAUUUUCAGGCCAAACGCUCGAGUUUUGUCAGUUAUCCUUCUUUGAAGAGUAGUUUUUGUCCUCCUACCUACAGUUUUACCAACUGUAGCUGAGAUCUAUUCAAAGAGAGAGAGGAAAAAGCAAUGAGGAUGUUUUGAAUUUUUCAAAAAGUUGGAGACCUGCUCCCGGGACCAUGCUUCUCACUAUAAAUCUUUCACAGGAUUCUGUCAGCUCCAUUGUCCACGGGUUGAUUACAAAACCCAUCAUUCUAACCGCAUCUUUCCUUGAAGUGAAUCCUCUGGUGAGUGGUGCCUGGGCUGUCCGUCUCCUUUAAAUCAGAGUUCUGGCAUCAGAAAUGGUGUGUCGCUUUUCCUUCCCUUUUAUUUUAUCCAGUCUUGGGCACAGUGUGUCACCUAAUUAGCACAACAAAUGUAAUUUUAUCUGACUUUCCCUCUUUUCAUGGCUCAUUAUUUUUCCUCCAGUGCAGGAAAUUGCUGUCCGCAUCAUUUUUUAUUGUUCCUCUUUCUCAUAGAGAAUUCCCCAUUUGAAAGACAUUUUCUUUAGUUUUCUUCUGUAAAAGCCCUCUCGUGACCUUUUUGCCUACCAACAAAGACCCAUUUCCUGACCAGCAUCAGCAAUCGAUUCCUUUACGAACGAUUUGGUUUAAGGUCAGUGCUGGCCUAUAAUAUAACUACUUAAAUAUAUGUAGCUCUAAAGAAAAGUGGAAAUGGUCUGUAAGAGUGCAAGUAAAAUAUCCCGUCUCAGAGAAAGCAGUUCAUUUUCUGAUGUUUUGAAAGCAGUAGCCAACGAUGUGAUGUUGUUUCUAAAGAAAACUCACAUCAUCCUGGAAGCCCCUGGCCACAUCCCUCAACCAGAAACUUCCUCCAUGUCUCGUGCUGUAUUAUUCAGUUCAGUUCCCAAUACGGAGUUUCAAGAGAGAUGCUAACAAAUUAGAAGAAGGUGUUCAAGAUGUAAGGGGCCUGGAAAAAAACAUCUUGUUGAGUGUAUAAAGAAGAUAGGGUGGGCAUGAUGCUCAUUGUCACAUCUUUGAAAGAGUAUUUUGUUACGAAAGACAGGCUUGUUCUGUUUUCCUGCAGAAACAUAAGUACCCAUGAGUAUAAAUCUAAACAAGGCAAACGAUGGCACGGACACCUCAUCAGUCGGUGAGUAGCUCAUCUCAAAGCAUGAAGUGAGAGGCUGGAUGAUCAUCUGCAGAACUGUUGUAAAGAGGUUUUGUAACCACACGACCAGGAACAGAAUUUGUCACCCCAAAAUAUGCCUUUUUGGCAUAAGAAUUAUUUUAGGCUGAUUAUUUUUAAGAAACAGCAGACACAGGGAAAUGCUCUGAAAACCUGGUAGGAGUUACCCAUUUGUAAGGGAAAUCUACAUUUAUAAGAGAAAUCUCCAUUUGUAAGGGUGGCUUCUUCUCUGUGCCAGGAAGGAGAAGAUGACUAACUGCCCAGAAACUCUCAUCAGUAGAAAACGCAAUGACUUAAAUCUACAUAACAACUUUACCCUUGUUUACUGUGCUGACCUCAUCUUAACAGAACGUUAAGACUAUUUUUCAGGGGUGGCCAGCCAGCCAGGAGUAUGCACAGAGAAGAGAAAAUUUUGAUCUGCCAAUUGAAACUCCUGCCAGAGCUUCUGCAUACCAGCCUACCCUCUCUAAUCCCUUAAACCCUACCCUAUACCCUGGAUCCGGGAGACAGGUUUGAGAGCAUGUCCUCCUAUCUCCUUGCCAAUCGAUUGCAUAAUAAACUUUCUUCCCUUAAA
Equus caballus (horse) is the source of this 2615-nucleotide long non-coding RNA. RefSeq lists it as uncharacterized. Lineage: Eukaryota; Metazoa; Chordata; Mammalia; Perissodactyla; Equidae. The record is from RefSeq and is a predicted model, not a curated record.